GCUUACGGCCAUACCAGCCUGAAUACGCCCGAUCUCGUCCGAUCUCGGAAGCUAAGCAGGGUCGGGCCUGGUUAGUACUUGGAUGGGAGACCGCCUGGGAAUACCAGGUGCUGUAA
Ribosomal RNA from Oncorhynchus tshawytscha (Chinook salmon), 116 nucleotides. NCBI's taxonomy places the organism in Eukaryota, Metazoa, Chordata, Actinopteri, Salmoniformes, Salmonidae. The record is from Ensembl.